Molecule: ribosomal RNA, 496 nt
Filed under: uncultured bacterium
Lineage: Bacteria
Description: partial 16S ribosomal RNA
Rfam family: Bacterial small subunit ribosomal RNA
Source: RNAcentral
AUGAACGCUGGCGGCGUGCCUAAUACAUGCCAGUCGAGCCAACAGACGAGGAGCUUGCUCCUCUGACGUUAGCGGCGGACGGGUGAGUAACACGUGGAUAACCUACCUAUAAGACUGGGAUAACUUCGGGAAACCGGAGCUAAUACCGGACAAUAUAUUGAACCGCAUGGUUCAAUAGUGAAAGACGGUUUUGCUGUCACUUAUAGAUGGAUCAGCGCCGCAUUAGCUAGUUGGUAAGGUAACGGCUUACCAAGGCAACGAUGCGUAGCCGACCUGAGAGGAUGAUCGGCCACACUAGACCUGAGACACGGUCCAGACUCCUACGGGAGGCAGCAGUAGGGAAUCUUCCGCAAUGGACGAAAGCUUGACGGAGCAACGUCGCGUGAGUGAUGACGGACUUCAGAUCGUAAAACUCUGUUAUUAGGGAAGAACAAAUGUGUAAGUAACUAUGCACGUCUUGACGGUACCUAAUCAGAAAGCCACGGCUAACUACGUG